This 240-nucleotide long non-coding RNA is filed under the name Elaeis guineensis (African oil palm). Its description in RNAcentral is "long non-coding RNA (EGUI_LNC029341)". Lineage: Eukaryota; Viridiplantae; Streptophyta; Magnoliopsida; Arecales; Arecaceae. The record is from RNAcentral.
UAUCACGUUGCCUAGCAGGGUAAGGCGUCAGAUCGGGUGUCCUCGAAUCUCUGUGCUAGUUGGGCCUCCAUAUUCUAGGAAGCCUCAGAGAGCUUUUCGCCUUUUCUUGGAUGUCGAGCCACCUUCAGUCCCUGAGUCUCAGUUCAUCUGUGUAUGGGGUCCAGCAAAAGGAUCAAUUUCCUUUGUUGGAUCAUCGCGAGCCUUAUGAGCUUCUCAUGGUUACCCCGAAGGCACCAUCGC